This 497-nucleotide ribosomal RNA is filed under the name uncultured bacterium. Its description in RNAcentral is "partial 16S ribosomal RNA". It matches the Rfam family "Bacterial small subunit ribosomal RNA", at positions 28 to 507 of the family's 1533-position model. The record is from RNAcentral.
GAUGAACGCUGGCGGCGUGCCUAAUACAUGCAAGUCGAGCGAACAGACGAGGAGCUUGCUCCUCUGACGUUAGCGGCGGACGGGUGAGUAACACGUGGAUAACCUACCUAUAAGACUGGGAUAACUUCGGGAAACCGGAGCUAAUACCGGAUAAUAUAUUGAACCGCAUGGUUCAAUAGUGAAAGACGGUUUUGCUGUCACUUAUAGAUGGAUCCGCGCCGCAUUAGCUAGUUGGUAAGGUAACGGCUUACCAAGGCGACGAUGCGUAGCCGACCUGAGAGGGUGAUCGGCCACACUGGAACUGAGACACGGUCCAGACUCCUACGGGAGGCGGCAGUAGGGAAUCUUCCGCAAUGGGCGAAAGCCUGACGGAGCAACGCCGCGUGAGUGAUGAAGGUCUUCGGAUCGUAAAACUCUGUUAUUAGGGAAGAACAAAUGUGUAAGUAACUAUGCACGUCUUGACGGUACCUAAUCAGAAAGCCACGGCUAACUACGUG